AUUGAACGCUGGCGGCAGGCUUAACACAUGCAAGUCGAGCGGGGGAAGGUAGCUUGCUACCGGACCUAGCGGCGGACGGGUGAGUAAUGCUUAGGAAUCUGCCUAUUAGUGGGGGACAACAUCUCGAAAGGGAUGCUAAUACCGCAUACGUCCUACGGGAGAAAGCAGGGGAUCUUCGGACCUUGCGCUAAUAGAUGAGCCUAAGUCGGAUUAGCCAGUUGGUGGGGUAAAGGCCUACCAAGGCGACGAUCUGUAGCGGGUCUGAGAGGAUGAUCCGCCACACUGGGACUGAGACACGGCCCAGACUCCUACGGGAGGCAGCAGUGGGGAAUAUUGGACAAUGGGGGGAACCCUGAUCCAGCCAUGCCGCGUGUGUGAAGAGGGCCUUAUGGUUGUAAAGCACUUUAAGCGAGGAGGAGGCUACUCUAGUUAAUACCUAGGGAUAGUGGACGUUACUCGCAGAAUAAGCACCGGCUAACUCUGUGCCAGCCGCCGCAGUAA
This 501-nucleotide ribosomal RNA is filed under the name uncultured bacterium. RNAcentral's name for it is "partial 16S ribosomal RNA". It matches the Rfam family "Bacterial small subunit ribosomal RNA", at positions 30 to 523 of the family's 1533-position model. The record is from RNAcentral.